AGCCUUCUGUAUCCAUGCUGAGAUUUCAUCACACACCAGAUCACAUAGGCUGAUGAAACUUUCAAGUGAAACG
Molecule: microRNA precursor, 73 nt
Filed under: Schistosoma margrebowiei
Lineage: Eukaryota; Metazoa; Platyhelminthes; Trematoda; Strigeidida; Schistosomatidae
Description: mir-3492 microRNA precursor family
Rfam family: mir-3492 microRNA precursor family
Source: Rfam by way of RNAcentral